UACGUAGGGUGCGAGCGUUAAUCGGAAUUACUGGGCGUAAAGCGUGCGCAGGCGGCUUUGCAAGACAGAUGUGAACUCCCCGGGCUCAACCUGGGAACUGCUUUCAAAACUGCUGAGCUAGAGUACGGCAGAGGGGGAUGGAAUUCCGCGUGUAGCAGUGAAAUGCGUAGAUAUGCGGAGGAACACCAAUGGCGAAGGCAAUCCCCUGGGCCUGUACUGACGCUCAUGCACGAAAGCGUGGGGAGCAAACAGG
RNAcentral lists this ribosomal RNA (253 nucleotides) under uncultured bacterium. RNAcentral's name for it is "partial 16S ribosomal RNA". It matches the Rfam family "Bacterial small subunit ribosomal RNA", at positions 524 to 776 of the family's 1533-position model. The record is from RNAcentral.